This 253-nucleotide ribosomal RNA is filed under the name uncultured bacterium. RNAcentral's name for it is "partial 16S ribosomal RNA". It matches the Rfam family "Bacterial small subunit ribosomal RNA", at positions 524 to 776 of the family's 1533-position model. The record is from RNAcentral.
GACGAAGGAUGCAAGCGUUAUCCGGAUUCAUUGGGUUUAAAGGGAGCGUAGGUGGCCUUAUAAGUCAGUGGUGAAAUCUCUCGGCUUAACCGAGAAAUUGCCAUUGAUACGGUAGGGCUUGAGUAUAGUUGCCGUUGGCGGAAUAUGACAUGUAGUGGUGAAAUACAUAGAGAUGUCAUAGAACACCGAUUGCGAAGGCAGCUGACGAAACUAUAACUGACACUGAGGCUCGAAAGUGCGGGGAUCAAACAGG